RNAcentral lists this ribosomal RNA (465 nucleotides) under Vreelandella stevensii. RNAcentral describes it as "partial 16S ribosomal RNA". It matches the Rfam family "Bacterial small subunit ribosomal RNA", at positions 338 to 795 of the family's 1533-position model. Lineage: Bacteria; Pseudomonadati; Pseudomonadota; Gammaproteobacteria; Oceanospirillales; Halomonadaceae. The record is from RNAcentral.
CCUACGGGAGGCUGCAGUGGGGAAUAUUGGACAAUGGGCGAAAGCCUGAUCCAGCCAUGCCGCGUGUGUGAAGAAGGCCUUCGGGUUGUAAAGCACUUUCAGUGGGGAAGAAAGCCUUGGGGCUAAUACCCUCGAGGAAGGACAUCACCCACAGAAGAAGCACCGGCUAACUCCGUGCCAGCAGCCGCGGUAAUACGGAGGGUGCGAGCGUUAAUCGGAAUUACUGGGCGUAAAGCGCGCGUAGGCGGUCUGAUAAGCCGGUUGUGAAAGCCCCGGGCUCAACCUGGGUACGGCAUCCGGAACUGUCAGGCUAGAGUGCAGGAGAGGAAGGUAGAAUUCCCGGUGUAGCGGUGAAAUGCGUAGAGAUCGGGAGGAAUACCAGUGGCGAAGGCGGCCUUCUGGACUGACACUGACGCUGAGGUGCGAAAGCGUGGGUAGCAAACAGGAUUAGAUACCCCAGUAGUC